CCUACGGGUGGCAGCAGUGAGGAAUAUUGGUCAAUGGACGAGAGUCUGAACCAGCCAAGUAGCGUGAAGGAUGACUGCCCUAUGGGUUGUAAACUUCUUUUAUAUGGGAAUAAAAUGCUCCACGUGUGGCUUUUUGUAUGUACCUUAUGAAUAAGGAUCGGCUAACUCCGUGCCAGCAGCCGCGGUAAUACGGAGGAUCCGAGCGUUAUCCGGAUUUAUUGGGUUUAAAGGGAGCGUAGGUGGGUUGUUAAGUCAGUUGUGAAAGUUUGCGGCUCAACCGUAAAAUUGCAGUUGAGACUGGCAGUCUUGAGUACAGUAGAGGUAGGCGGAAUUCGUGGUGUAGCGGUGAAAUGCUUAGAUAUCACGAAGAACUCCGAUUGCGAAGGCAGCUCACUGGACUGCCACUGACACUGAUGCUCGAAAGUGUGGGUAUCAAACAGGAUUAGAUACCCCGGUAGUC
Molecule: ribosomal RNA, 460 nt
Filed under: uncultured bacterium
Lineage: Bacteria
Description: partial 16S ribosomal RNA
Rfam family: Bacterial small subunit ribosomal RNA
Source: RNAcentral